This 253-nucleotide ribosomal RNA is filed under the name uncultured bacterium. RNAcentral's name for it is "partial 16S ribosomal RNA". It matches the Rfam family "Bacterial small subunit ribosomal RNA", at positions 524 to 776 of the family's 1533-position model. The record is from RNAcentral.
UACGUCGGGUGCAAGCGUUAAUCGGAAUUACUGGGCGUAAAGCGUGCGCAGGCGGUUUUGUAAGUCUGACGUGAAAUCCCCGGGCUCAACCUGGGAAUUGCGUUGGAGACUGCAAGGCUAGAAUCUGGCAGAGGGGGGUAGAAUUCCACGUGUAGCAGUGAAAUGCGUAGAGAUGUGGAGGAACACCGAUGGCGAAGGCAGCCCCCUGGGUCAAGAUUGACGCUCAUGCACGAAAGCGUGGGGAGCAAACAGG